RNAcentral lists this long non-coding RNA (542 nucleotides) under Bos indicus x Bos taurus (hybrid cattle). RNAcentral's name for it is "lncRNA (ENSBIXG00000018788.1)". Lineage: Eukaryota; Metazoa; Chordata; Mammalia; Artiodactyla; Bovidae. The record is from RNAcentral.
AGGGAAACCUGGAGCUCGGGGCCAUUUGAAGACCUCCCUCAGUUCCAUCCUGUUCUGUGGUUUCACAGGAAGCCAAAAUCCCUGGGCAAGCAGAAGGAGCUUUAUGUUUUACAAGCCUUGUGUACAUUUGGGCAGGUUUACUUUCCUGCUUCUUUUCUCUUAGGCUGAUGAUCACAUUCAUCUCAGCCCCGUGUGUGAGCCGGAGAUUCGUCCUCCAGAGACUGGCUGGAUAUGACCUCUGUGUCCACCUCCAUCCGUGGUCCAGGGUGAGCUAUAUCACAGUGGAUCUGUGCCUCAGGACUUCCUGCACGUGUGCUUGACACCUGCCUGCACACCUGUCUGGUGGAGGUGAGCUGCUGGUCCCAUCUCUUCCCUGUUCUGUGCUUGGCAACAUCACUGGGCAGAUGGAAACUGCCUGCAGUGGAGGUAUUCACACCAAGGAGAGACGCAACCGCUACGUGGAGGGGCUUCUCCCUGGGAACAGGUAAUUAGUAAUUUUCCAAGGUCCCUCCCUGGAGAUGCUUGAGGUCACUAGUGUCCUC